UACACACCGCCCGUCACACCACGAAAAGUGGUCAUAACCAGAAGUACGUGAGCUAACCGCAAGGGGGCAGCGCACCAAGGUUGUGGCCGUGAUUGGGGUG
RNAcentral lists this ribosomal RNA (100 nucleotides) under uncultured bacterium. RNAcentral describes it as "partial 16S ribosomal RNA". It matches the Rfam family "Bacterial small subunit ribosomal RNA", at positions 1384 to 1482 of the family's 1533-position model. The record is from RNAcentral.